GAUGAACGCUGGCGGCGUGCUUAACACAUGCAAGUCGAACGAACCUUCGGGUUAGUGGCGGACGGGUGAGUAACGCGUGAGAAUCUGCCCUCAGGAGGGGGAUAACGGUUGGAAACGACCGCUAAUACCCCAUAUGCCGAUAGGUGAAAUGAAUUUCGCCUGAGGAUGAGCUCGCGUCUGAUUAGCUUGUUGGUGAGGUAAUGGCUCACCAAGGCUUCGAUCAGUAGCUGGUCUGAGAGGAUGAUCAGCCACACUGGGACUGAGACACGGCCCAGACUCCUACGGGAGGCAGCAGUGGGGAAUUUUCCGCAAUGGGCGAAAGCCUGACGGAGCAACGCCGCGUGAGGGACGAAGGCCUCUGGGCUGUAAACCUCUUUUCUCAAGGAAGAAGAUAUGACGGUACUUGAGGAAUAAGCCACGGCUAAUUCCGUGCCAGCAGCCGCGGUAAUACGGGAGUGGCAAGCGUUAUCCGGAAUUAUUGGGCGUAAAGCGUCCGCAGGCGGCCUUUCAAGUCUGCUGUUAAAGCGUGGAGCUUAACUCCAUUAUGGCAGUGGAAACUGAUAGGCUUGAGUAUGGUAGGGGCAGAGGGAAUUCCCGGUGUAGCGGUGAAAUGCGUAGAUAUCGGGAAGAACACCAGUGGCGAAGGCGCUCUGCUGGGCCAUUACUGACGCUCAUGGACGAAAGCCAGGGGAGCGAAAGGGAUUAGAUACCCCUGUAGUCCUGGCCGUAAACGAUGAACACUAGGUGUCGGGGGAAUCGACCCCUUCGGUGUCGUAGCUAACGCGUUAAGUGUUCCGCCUGGGGAGUACGCACGUAAGUGUGAAACUCAAAGGAAUUGACGGGGGCCCGCACAAGCGGUGGAGUAUGUGGUUUAAUUCGAUGCAACGCGAAGAACCUUACCAGGGUUUGACAUCCUGAGAACCUCUUAGAAAUUUGAGGGUGCCUUCGGGAAUUCAGUGACAGGUGGUGCAUGGCUGUCGUCAGCUCGUGUCGUGAGAUGUUGGGUUAAGUCCCGCAACGAGCGCAACCCACGUUUUUAGUUGCCAGCAUUUAGUUGGGCACUCUAGAAAGACCGCCGGUGAUAAACCGGAGGAAGGUGUGGAUGACGUCAAGUCAUCAUGCCCCUUACACCCUGGGCUACACACGUACUACAAUGCUACGGACAAAGGGCAGCAAACUCGCGAGAGCUAGCAAAUCCCAUAAACCGUGGCUCAGUUCAGAUCGUAGGCUGCAACUCGCCUACGUGAAGUAGGAAUCGCUAGUAAUCGCAGGUCAGCAUACUGCGGUGAAUACGUUCCCGGGCCUUGUACACACCGCCCGUC
This 1322-nucleotide ribosomal RNA is filed under the name uncultured bacterium. Its description in RNAcentral is "bacterial SSU rRNA". It matches the Rfam family "Bacterial small subunit ribosomal RNA", at positions 28 to 1398 of the family's 1533-position model. The record is from RNAcentral.